CCUACGGGCGGCUGCAGUGGGGAAUAUUGCACAAUGGGCACAAGCCUGAUGCAGCCAUGCCGCGUGUGUGAAGAAGGCCUUCGGGUUGUAAAGCACUUUCAGCGGGGAGGAAGGCGGUGAGGUUAAUAACCUCAUCGAUUGACGUUACCCGCAGAAGAAGCACCGGCUAACUCCGUGCCAGCAGCCGCGGUAAUACGGAGGGUGCAAGCGUUAAUCGGAAUUACUGGGCGUAAAGCGCACGCAGGCGGUCUGUCAAGUCGGAUGUGAAAUCCCCGGGCUCAACCUGGGAACUGGAUUCGAAACUGGCAGGCUAGAGUCUUGUAGAGGGGGGUAGAAUUCCAGGUGUAGCGGUGAAAUGCGUAGAGAUCUGGAGGAAUACCGGUGGCGAAGGCGGCCCCCUGGACAAAGACUGACGCUCAGGUGCGAAAGCGUGGGGAGCAAACAGGAUUAGAUACCCCAGUAGUC
RNAcentral lists this ribosomal RNA (465 nucleotides) under uncultured Klebsiella sp. Its description in RNAcentral is "bacterial SSU rRNA". It matches the Rfam family "Bacterial small subunit ribosomal RNA", at positions 338 to 795 of the family's 1533-position model. The record is from RNAcentral. Lineage: Bacteria; Pseudomonadati; Pseudomonadota; Gammaproteobacteria; Enterobacterales; Enterobacteriaceae.